GACGUAGGGGGCGAGCGUUGUCCGGAUUUAUUGGGCGUAAAGCGCGCGCAGGCGGUUCGGAAAGUCGGAUGUGAAAAUCCGGGGCUCAACCCCGGACGUGCAUCCGAUACUCCCGGACUGGAGGCAGGUAGGGGAGAGCGGAAUUCCCGGUGUAGCGGUGAAAUGCGCAGAUAUCAGGAAGAACACCAAUGGCGAAGGCAGCUCUCUGGGACGGUACUGACACUGAGACACGAAAGCCAGGGGAGCGAACGGG
Molecule: ribosomal RNA, 253 nt
Filed under: uncultured bacterium
Lineage: Bacteria
Description: partial 16S ribosomal RNA
Rfam family: Bacterial small subunit ribosomal RNA
Source: RNAcentral